UAGUGACAGAAUGAGGGAGAGAGUGACUAGUGACAGAGGGAGGGAGAUGGUGACUAGUGACAGAGUGAGGGAGGUGGUGACUGUCACUAGUCACCCCAUCCCUCCCUCUGUCACUAGUCACUCCCUCCCUAACUCUGUCAUU
This is a non-coding RNA of Pelobates cultripes (western spadefoot toad), 142 nucleotides long. Lineage: Eukaryota; Metazoa; Chordata; Amphibia; Anura; Pelobatidae. The record is from the annotation of a GenBank genome assembly.